GCCUACGGGGGGCAGCAGUCGAGAAUCAUUCACAAUGGGGGAAACCCUGAUGGUGCGACGCCGCGUGGGGGAAUGAAGGUCUUCGGAUUGUAAACCCCUGUCAUGUGGGAGCAAGACCCGCCUCGUGCAGGCGGAGCGAGAGUACCCGAAGAAAAAGCAUCGGCUAACUCCGUGCCAGCAGCCGCGGUAAUACGGAGGAUGCGAGCGUUAUCCGGAUUUAUUGGGUUUAAAGGGUGCGCAGGCGGACCAUCAAGUCAGCGGUAAAAUCGUGGGGCCCAACCCCAUCCCGCCGUUGAAACUGGCGG
RNAcentral lists this ribosomal RNA (305 nucleotides) under uncultured bacterium. RNAcentral's name for it is "bacterial SSU rRNA". It matches the Rfam family "Bacterial small subunit ribosomal RNA", at positions 337 to 639 of the family's 1533-position model. The record is from RNAcentral.